RNAcentral lists this ribosomal RNA (492 nucleotides) under uncultured bacterium. RNAcentral describes it as "partial 16S ribosomal RNA". It matches the Rfam family "Bacterial small subunit ribosomal RNA", at positions 29 to 507 of the family's 1533-position model. The record is from RNAcentral.
AGUAAACGCUGGCGGUAGGCCUAACACAUGCAAGUCGAACGGCAGCACAGUAAGAGCUUGCUCUUACGGGUGGCGAGUGGCGGACGGGUGAGGAAUACAUCGGAAUCUACUUUUUCGUGGGGGAUAACGUAGGGAAACUUACGCUAAUACCGCAUACGACCUACGGGUGAAAGCAGGGGAUCUUCGGACCUUGCGCGAUUGAAUGAGCCGAUGUCGGAUUAGCUAGUUGGCGGGGUAAAGGCCCACCAAGGCGACGAUCCGUAGCUGGUCUGAGAGGAUGAUCAGCCACACUGGAACUGAGACACGGUCCAGACUCCUACGGGAGGCAGCAGUGGGGAAUAUUGGACAGUGGGCGCAAGCCUGAUCCAGCCAUACCGCGUGGGUGAAGAAGGCCUUCGGGUUGUAAAGCCCUUUUGUUGGGAAAGAAAAGCAGCAGGUUAAUACCCCGCUGUUCUGACGGUACCCAAAGAAUAAGCACCGGCUAACUUCGUG